GCUUCUGUGUUAACAUAUAAAACACUUUCAAUUUUUUGUUUAGAUAAGGCACAUUCAUGCCAAGAAAGAAAGUUCAUUUUUUUCAUUGACAAAAGUGUUUGUAGUAAAAUUAUGAUUGGCAAAUAAUGGUGAUUGUAAGAAAUUACACAUAACUUUUGUUUGUAUCAUAGGGCACAUUUAUAACAUAUAGGGCUAUUUCAUUGCAAAAAAUGCUCCUGACCUUCUAAUAAGGUCAUGUGGUAGCAAACAGUCUUUUGCAAAUCAUCUUUAUCAUACUAGUCCCAGGAUUUUUAUUUUAUACAUUACAAUCAUGAC
This 315-nucleotide long non-coding RNA is filed under the name Mytilus galloprovincialis (Mediterranean mussel). Lineage: Eukaryota; Metazoa; Mollusca; Bivalvia; Mytilida; Mytilidae. The record is from RNAcentral.